This 497-nucleotide ribosomal RNA is filed under the name uncultured bacterium. RNAcentral describes it as "partial 16S ribosomal RNA". It matches the Rfam family "Bacterial small subunit ribosomal RNA", at positions 28 to 507 of the family's 1533-position model. The record is from RNAcentral.
GAUGAACGCUGGCGGCGUGCCUAAUACAUGCAAGUCGAGCGAACGGACGAGAAGCUUGCUUCUCUGAUGUUAGCGGCGGACGGGUGAGUAACACGUGGAUAACCUACCUAUAAGACUGGGAUAACUUCGGGAAACCGGAGCUAAUACCGGAUAAUAUUUUGAACCGCAUGGUUCAAAAGUGAAAGACGGUCUUGCUGUCACUUAUAGAUGGAUCCGCGCUGCAUUAGCUAGUUGGUAAGGUAACGGCUUACCAAGGCAACGAUGCAUAGCCGACCUGAGAGGGUGAUCGGCCACACUGGAACUGAGACACGGUCCAGACUCCUACAGGAGGCUGCAGUAGGGAAUCUUCCGCAAUGGGCGAAAGCCUGACGGAGCAACGCCGCGUGAGUGAUGAAGGUCUUCGGAUCGUAAAACUCUGUUAUUAGGGAAGAACAUAUGUGUAAGUAACUGUGCACAUCUUGACGGUACCUAAUCAGAAAGCCACGGCUAACUACGUG